This 815-nucleotide long non-coding RNA is filed under the name Portunus trituberculatus (swimming crab). RNAcentral's name for it is "uncharacterized LOC123502307". Lineage: Eukaryota; Metazoa; Arthropoda; Malacostraca; Decapoda; Portunidae. The record is from RNAcentral.
AGUGUACGCAGCCCAGUGUCCGUCUGUGUCUUGUCGUGGGCGUGACGUUCAGCAGCGGCAGGAACAGCAACGGGAACCUUGAUCUGCGUGGGUUUUCGUGCGGCGGGGUGACGUGCCGCUGCUGUGAGGUUAUCGGACCACACCACACCACACCACAGCACAGCACAGAGGAAGGAGAGGCGUUGACGAUCCAAAGGCCUGACUCCACAGCGGUAAUGAGCCUCGUCUACCUUGCAUUUAACGGACAAUGCUCACUACCACCUCUGCCUCCGCCACCGCCACUGCCGCCGUUGAGGGAGACUGGCUGGAUGAGUGGGUGAUAGAGGCGAGGCAGGUGUGGUGAGGCGGAGGAUUGGAGACGAGAACCUACAGAUGACGGCAGACACGGAAGAUUCCACUUACCAGGAGUUGGUGAUCUGAAGCCAUGACUGCAGCGAUCCCAUGCGUCCUGCACCAUCAGGGAAGGACUCUUUGGCUUCGCACUGCGCCUACAUUGACCGUUGCCACUGCCGCUGCUACCGCUACUCGGAGGGGCACUGCCUCGCAUUGGGCCUUCACUGCCGUCCCGCUAAUACACGUGCCGCCGUCGCCGCUACUGGCACUGAGGGACUUCGCCUCGCAGCGGCCUGGCAAACACCUGCUACACCACCACCACUAACUCCGCCGCCACCACCGCAGUCCAGAGAGAUUCAGCUUCGCAUAGCAGACAUCCUCCUAUUCAACGCUUGCUACCACUACCACCUCAUUAUUGUGGUGUCACUGUACUUGAAGCUUGGAUCUGUUGUCACUACUGAAUAAUAAAGUGUAAAGAUAUC